AAAAUAGUUUGGACACCUCAACUGAACAUUUGUGGCAUAUUUAGCUCAAAUAGUUUUUAUUUUCUUUUUUUCCGUUCAUCUGGAAUAGUACUACAGCAGGUUGCUGAUGGCGUGGUCGUGUGUGUGGGCAGUGACGGUCCUCCUGGGAGCGUGCUCUGUGUGGCCGCUGGCUGACGGCUGGAGGACCAGAGGCCUGGACACAGCCAACACCACCACGACACACACACCUGCGGAGCCCCACACCAGGGAGAAGGCGUCCGCAGAAAGGAGCGGACCGCACGGUG
This is a long non-coding RNA of Osmerus eperlanus (European smelt), 284 nucleotides long. RefSeq lists it as uncharacterized. NCBI's taxonomy places the organism in Eukaryota, Metazoa, Chordata, Actinopteri, Osmeriformes, Osmeridae. The transcript has 3 exons. The record is from RefSeq and is a predicted model, not a curated record.